Molecule: ribosomal RNA, 585 nt
Filed under: uncultured bacterium
Lineage: Bacteria
Description: bacterial SSU rRNA
Rfam family: Bacterial small subunit ribosomal RNA
Source: RNAcentral
CCUACGGGAGGCAGCAGUGGGGAAUAUUGCACAAUGGGCGCAAGCCUGAUGCAGCAAUGCCGCGUGUGUGAAGAAGGCCUGCGGGUUGUAAAGCACUUUCAGUAGUGAAGAAAAGCUUGAGGUUAAUACCCUCAAGUCUUGACGUUAGCUACACAAGAAGCACCGGCUAACUCCGUGCCAGCAGCCGCGGUAAUACGGAGGGUGCGAGCGUUAAUCGGAAUNACUGGGCGUAAAGCGCGCGUAGGCGGUUUGGUAAGUCGGAUGUGAAAUCCCCGGGCUCAACCCGGGAACUGCAUUCGAUACUGCCUGNCUAGAAUGUGAUAGAGGUAAGUGGAAUUCCCGGUGUAGCGGUGAAAUGCGUAGAUAUCGGGAGGAACAUCAGUGGCGAAGGCGGCUUACUGGAUCAACAUUGACGCUGAGGUGCGAAAGCGUGGGGAGCAAANANGAUUAGAUACCCUGGUAGUCCACGCCCUAAACGAUGUCAACUAGCCGUUGGGUCCUUAAGGACUUAGUGGCGCAGCUAACGCGAUAAGUUGACCGCCUGGGGAGUACGGCCGCAAGGUUAAAACUCAAAGGAAUUGACGG